RNAcentral lists this ribosomal RNA (475 nucleotides) under uncultured bacterium. RNAcentral describes it as "bacterial SSU rRNA". It matches the Rfam family "Bacterial small subunit ribosomal RNA", at positions 30 to 507 of the family's 1533-position model. The record is from RNAcentral.
AGUGAACGCUGGCGGCAGGCCUAACACAUGCAAGUCGAGCGGCAGCGCGUCCGACCACCCUCGGGUGGUCGGAUGGCGGCGAGCGGCGGACGGGUGAGGAAUGCAUCGGAAUCUGCCUCGUUGUGGGGGAUAACGUAGGGAAACUUACGCUAAUACCGCAUACGACCUACGGGUGAAAGUGGGGGACCUUCGGGCCUCACGCGAUGAGAUGAGCCGAUGCCGGAUUAGCUAGUUGGCGGGGUAAAGGCCCACCAAGGCGACGAUCCGUAGCUGGUCUGAGAGGAUGAUCAGCCACACUGGAACUGAGACACGGUCCAGACUCCUACGGGAGGCAGCAGUGGGGAAUAUUGGGCAAUGGGGGAAACCCUGACCCAGCGACGCCGCGUGGGUGAAGAAAUCCUUCGGGAUGUAAAGCCCUGUUGUAUGGGAAGAGCGGAAGACGGUACCAUACGAGGAAGCCCCGGCAAACUACGUG